AAACCUUUGCGACCCCAGGUCAGGCGGGGUUACCCGCUGAGUUUAAGCAUAUCAAUAAGCGGAGGAA
RNAcentral lists this ribosomal RNA (67 nucleotides) under Alternanthera pubiflora. RNAcentral's name for it is "partial 26S ribosomal RNA". The stretch from base 10 to 67 matches the Rfam family "Eukaryotic large subunit ribosomal RNA", at positions 1 to 58 of the family's 3401-position model. Lineage: Eukaryota; Viridiplantae; Streptophyta; Magnoliopsida; Caryophyllales; Amaranthaceae. The record is from RNAcentral.